This 482-nucleotide ribosomal RNA is filed under the name uncultured bacterium. RNAcentral's name for it is "SSU rRNA". It matches the Rfam family "Bacterial small subunit ribosomal RNA", at positions 26 to 518 of the family's 1533-position model. The record is from RNAcentral.
AGGACGAACGCUGGCGGCGUGCUUAACACAUGCAAGUGGAGCGACGAACCAGGCUUCGGCCUGGGGCAGAGCCGCGAACGGGUGAGUAACACGUGGGUAACCUGCCCUGAUGAUUGGGACAACCCGAGGAAACUCGGGCUAAUACCAAAUGUGCCCUCUGGCCUCAAGGCCUCUGGGGAAAGGAGCUUCGGCCUCCGCAUUGGGAUGGGCCCGCGGCCCAUUAGCUUGUUGGUGAGGUAACGGCUCACCAAGGCUACGAUGGGUAGCUGGUCUGAGAGGACGAUCAGCCACACUGGGACUGAGACACGGCCCAGACUCCUACGGGAGGCAGCAGUGGGGAAUAUUGCGCAAUGGGCGAAAGCCUGACGCAGCGACGCCGCGUGGGGAUGAAGGCCUUCGGGUUGUAAACCCUUUCGGCAGGGACGAAGCGAAAGUGACGGUACCUGCAAAGAAGCGCCGGCUAACUACGUGCCAGCAGCCGC